CCUACGGGGGGCAGCAGUGAGGAAUAUUGGUCAAUGGACGAGAGUCUGAACCAGCCAAGUCGCGUGAAGGAUGACUGUCCUAUGGGUUGUAAACUUCUUUUAUAUGGGAAUAAAAUGUUCCACGUGUGGGAUUUUGUAUGUACCAUAUGAAUAAGGAUCGGCUAACUCCGUGCCAGCAGCCGCGGUAAUACGGAGGAUCCGAGCGUUAUCCGGAUUUAUUGGGUUUAAAGGGAGCGUAGGUGGAUUGUUAAGUCAGUUGUGAAAGUUUGCGGCUCAACCGUAAAAGUGCAGUUGAAACUGGCAGUCUGGAGUACAGUAGAGGUGGGCGGAAUGCGUGGUGUAGCGGUGAAAUGCUUAGAUAUCACGAAGAACUCCGAUUGCGAAGGCAGCUCACUGGACUGCAACUGACACUGAGGCACGAAAGUGUGGGUAUCAAACAGGAUUAGAUACCCGAGUAGUC
RNAcentral lists this ribosomal RNA (460 nucleotides) under uncultured bacterium. Its description in RNAcentral is "partial 16S ribosomal RNA". It matches the Rfam family "Bacterial small subunit ribosomal RNA", at positions 338 to 795 of the family's 1533-position model. The record is from RNAcentral.